CCUGCCCAAUAUUACUCCAACGCCAGUCUGAUCUUUGGGUCCUUUUUUAUAUUCAGUUUUGUCUUCACUCUCUCUCUCAUUCACGAGCCUCCCCCCUCAUUUCAAAAAGAAGAGGAAGAAAAAAAGAAAAAGAGAAAAGGAAGAUUUUGAGUCUUGCAGACCAUGACAGCCCAUUUAGUUGCAGUGGUGGUGGUCUCGAUGGAAGGGAAGAAGCAUUAAAAUCACUUGGAACAUGAAUUGACAACUGAAAUUGAACCAUGCUACAGAAGGAGAGAGAGAGCGAGGGAGAGAGAGAGAGAGUGGGAAGGACAGGGAGAUUGCAUAUGAGUAUGGACCAUGGAUUAAUGUAUGUAAAUGCAGUUUGACAUACAAUUUCUAAAGUUUUUGUUGUAUAUUUAGGUAUUAUUUAUUAGGAACUUUAUUGGAGGGUAUCGUAUCAUAUCUCUCAAAGUCUUCCAAAGUGUUUGAAAACAUCGAUAUUUUAAACAUUUGUUCAACACUUGAACCCAAUAAUUGCAGUCCACAGAGUCCACAGUCCACACUUCUGCCGAGCAUGAACAGUCAUUUGCAAUAUAGUACGGCACUACUUGCUCUCUAUCUACUCAUCUCCUACCACUACUACUACAACUCUACUAUGACUACUAUACCUCCCUCUCUCUCUCUCUCUCUCUCUCUCUCUCUCUCUUUCAAUGCCUGUCUUUUCUCUCUAUGUCCCGUGAGAUUUGAGAGCAACCCCCCACACUCCUCUGCCAUGCCGCCCUAUAUUUCCACCACCUGUGACCCUAAGCCCCCGUGUAAAUAACUCUAUGAGCCUAGAUGAUACAUCUACACCCCUAUAGCCUUCUGAGCUGUGUUCACACCACUCACUGUCUCUUUCUCUCUUAGCUGCCCACAUGCUGCUUCCUCUUUAUUUCACUGUUUUCCAAUGUGGGUUGUGUCUCUUUACGCUUCUCUUUAUCAGCUUCUUUCACAUCUGUCCCUAAAUCUCCUAUAAAUAUCACAAUCUCCAAUGGGUUCUCUAAAUCCACCACCAUCAUCAUUAUCAACCUCUCUCAUGUUCUUAGGGUUUCUUUCCUCAUAAAUGGAUGGUUUUUUUUCUUCCUGAGUUUUCCUUUUCCAUUAGGGUUUUCAUAUUAUCUUCUCUUUUUCUCUCCUUCUGUAUAUUGAUCUAUAUGCAGUUUCACCAAACUGGGCUCUCUAACCUAUGAUUUGCCUUGUUUUGAGGGUAUUGGUACUUUAGAGGGCAAUUCUAAGACGAAAGGGUAGUUCUUUAGUUUAUCACAAUGAUUCUGUUCAUUUUCUCUUGCAAAAGUUAUGCCUCUGAUGGCUUUCUCCUACACGCUGUCUCGCCAUGUGAGCACAUCUGAGUUUUUCUUGUAUUUUCUUGCUCCAUCUGAGUGCAUGAAGACCCUUUUCUUCUGUAACUGAAGGUGCUUUUAGGUUCAUCACUCUCAUGAUGAAUAACCAUCUAGGGUUUCUCCCUUAUCAUAACAUCAUAUGCCCAAGAAGUUGACCUAAUAAUCUUUGUCAAGUUGCAACAGAGUCUCCAAGGGAAUAAGUGAAGCUGCCAGCAUGAUCUAGCUUUGGCUAGGGAUACAGAGAAAGAGAGAGAUCAGAGCUAACCCUAGCUAGGUCAUGCCCUGACAGCCUCACUCCUUCCUUCUUGAGGCCCCAGAAAAUUCCAAACAUCAUUCAAUUCUCAAAGCAAAACAGGAUAAACAAGAACAAGAAAGCAAUAGAACAAUCACUGAAGCUGCAGUGCAAUGAAAAACCCCAGAUGGAUUCCUCAGUUUCUUGGUGUUUUCAACCUCUAGGUUUUCAUCUCUUGCCACCACUGUGCUGUUCAGCAAUCAUCAGCUGCUGGGUAGUACUCUAAACGAACAUUGUAACAUAACCCUGAUGGGUCACUGGAUUUCCCUUUAUACUCGAAGCAGAAAAACAUCAUUUCUUGUCCUGCAUUUGAUGAUAUGGCAUGUUUCAACUUUCUCAGAAUAUGUAUAUAUACCAUGAAAUCUAGCAAAACAAGCCAUUUGUGGCAAGUAAAUAGUGUGGUUGAGAGCA
Vitis vinifera (wine grape) is the source of this 2061-nucleotide long non-coding RNA. RefSeq lists it as uncharacterized. The transcript is spliced from 2 exons. The record is from RefSeq and is a predicted model, not a curated record. NCBI's taxonomy places the organism in Eukaryota, Viridiplantae, Streptophyta, Magnoliopsida, Vitales, Vitaceae.